Molecule: long non-coding RNA, 2263 nt
Organism: Macaca fascicularis (crab-eating macaque)
Lineage: Eukaryota; Metazoa; Chordata; Mammalia; Primates; Cercopithecidae
Source: Ensembl
AGCGUCGGGCCGGGCGGGAAAGUGGAAAACUACCCGCGGCGGUCCGGCGUGGUGGUUCACCCUUGUAAUCCCAGCAGUUUGGGAGGCCGAGGCGGGCGAAUCAGGAGGUCAGCAGAUCGAGACCAUCCUGGCUAACACGGUGAAACCCGUCUCUACUAAAAAUAGAAAAAAAUUAGCCGGGCGCGGUGGCGGGCGCCUGUAGUCCCAGCUACUCGGGAGGCUGAGGCAGGAGAAUGGCUUGAACCCGGGAGGCGGAGCUUGCAGUGAGCCGAGAUUGCGCCACUGCACUCCAGCCUGGGCGACAGAGCGAGACUCCGUCUCAAAACAAUAAAUAAAUAAAUAAAACUACGAGUGACGACUUCUUGUAUGGGUGCAUCUUAUUCUAAGAGUCUCAUCAAACUGCUUCUGGGGAUUGACAUACUACAGGUUCGCCAGUUGGUGAUUGAUAAGUUGUCGUCUAUUGGAGGAUUUGCCUGUGAUAAUAAAGUUCAUUCUUCAUUCCAUAACAGCCAUGGAUGCACUUGAGGUAAUUUCUGAGCUUCGGGAGAAGUUGGAUCUGCAACAUUGUGUUUUGCCAUCACAGUUACAGGCUUCCCAAGUAAAAUAGAAAAGUAAAGGACGAGCAAGGAAAUCAAGAAAGCAGCGGUCAGAGCUGCAUUAUUCUCCUUUUUGAUGUAAUAAAGUGCUGGGAUUACAGGCGUGAGCCACCAGAAUAAACCAGCCUGGCUUAUUCUUUCGAUGACUGUAAUAUUCCAAAAAUUAAAAUUACUCCGUCAUAAUUUAUUGGACCUUUCCCGUAUUGGUGGGCAUUUAUAGUCUUUCCAACUUUUCACAAAGUAAUUUUCCUAGUAAUAGUGAAAAUACUGGAGUUGGCAAGUGAUUGAAUCUUUCCUUUAAUAAAUGUCAAGAUAUUCAAAGUUACUUCUGUAGUAGAAUCACUUUAAUGUAUAUUGCAAUGUAUUAAGAGAUACCAGUGGUUAAUAAUUGUGGCACUUUAUUUCUCUGAAAAUUAUUUCUGGGUUUUGUGAAAAGUGUAGAUACUCCCAGGGGAGUGUGUGGAACAAAUGAGCAUCAUCCAUUCUGUGUUUUAAUGGGGAAAAGCUGCUGUUUCAUUGUAGCAAAUGUACUGAUUUGUUAACUGUUUUUCUAUUAUUGCAUAUUUAUUGACAAUAGGUGUUUGACCUGGUGAUGCUUUUCAUCAUCUAUAGCAGCAAUACUCAGACAAAGAAGUACAUUGAAAGGUGCUAAGAAAUAAGAUUCGAUCAGGCUGCAUUCAAGAACAACUGCUCCAGAGUACAUUCUCUGUUCAUUACUUAGUAAGUGUCAGAGACUAUUGAUCUUUAAUCUAAAACGGAAAGCUAUACAGCUCCUGUGUAAAAUUUCAUCUUAUUUCAGUCCAUUGUUCAAACCCAUAGAAAUUUUUGAAUUUUAUUUUUGCAUUAAUCAUUUUAAUUGUCUAUCUCAAUGCAUUUUGCAGCUAUGACAAACUAGCCUUUCAUAUCCUAUUCUAAGUAGCUUAUAAAAACCUUGAGGGGAAAGGCCGGGUGCAGUGGCUUAUGCCUGUAAUCCUAGCACUUUGGGAGGCCGAGGUGGGCAAAUUACGAGGUCAGGAGUUCGAGAGCAGCCUGGCUAACAUGGUAAAACCCCGUCUCUACUAAAAAAAUACGAAAAGUUAGCUGGGCGUGGUGUUGGGCACCUGUAAUCCCAGCUACUUCAGAGGCUGAGGCAGGAGAAUCUCUUGAACCCAGGAGGCGGAGGUUGCAGUGAGCCGAGAUCUGCCACUGUACUCCAGCCUGAGCGACGGAGCAAGACUCCGUCUCAAAAAGAAAUCCUUGAGGGGAAUAGGACCUGCCUGUAGAAACUAGUAGAAACGUAAAUAUGAACUUAUUUGAACUAUCACUCUUUGGCUAUUCAAAACUGUGGACUUUAGGUGAUAAUUCCUCUGGAAAUGUAAUUUAUUCAAACUGGAAUUUUAUAAGCUGGGAAUAGUGUUUUGCCUGAAUGUUCAAUAUAUUAACAGUAUAGAACUUAGAAAACUGGAUGGGCCAGUCGUUUGGGGUUUGGGUCAGAGGCUAAUGAGAAUACCUCGUUGGAUCUUAAAUUUUAUAUUUAGGAAUGGAUUUAAUGUUUGUAUUAUUUCAUCUUGCAGUUCUUUCUGUGUUUAUUUCUGCCAAUUAUAUAUGUUUUGGGCUGUAAUUUUCUAGAUGCAGAAACCAUAUGUAAUUUUUCAUUGCAUUUUCCCCAAUAAAGCAUUAUACCCAGC